RNAcentral lists this non-coding RNA (25 nucleotides) under Rattus norvegicus (Norway rat). The record is from RNAcentral. Lineage: Eukaryota; Metazoa; Chordata; Mammalia; Rodentia; Muridae.
CCCAUAGCUAAAGGCAAGAGGAUGG